AAGUCGUAACAAGGUUUCCGUAGGUGAACCUGCGGAAGGAUCAUUACAUUCAGUAGCCUAGCUACUUGUUUACACCCUUGUUUUUUUGCGCACUUCAUUGUAUCCCUCGGCGGGCUUGCUCGCCGGUUGGACAACAUUUAUAACCUUUUUUAAUCUUCCAUCAGCGUCUGAAUUAUAUUUAAUAAUUACAACUUUCAACAACGGAUCUCUUGGUUCUG
RNAcentral lists this unclassified non-coding RNA (218 nucleotides) under fungal sp. Its description in RNAcentral is "partial internal transcribed spacer region". The stretch from base 1 to 46 matches the Rfam family "Eukaryotic small subunit ribosomal RNA", at positions 1786 to 1831 of the family's 1831-position model. The record is from RNAcentral. Lineage: Eukaryota; Fungi.